Molecule: ribosomal RNA, 355 nt
Filed under: uncultured bacterium
Lineage: Bacteria
Description: bacterial SSU rRNA
Rfam family: Bacterial small subunit ribosomal RNA
Source: RNAcentral
GUAGGUGGCGAGCGUUGUCCGGAAUUAUUGGGCGUAAAGGGAGCGCAGGCGGGAAGGUAAGUCUAUCUUAAAAGUGCGGGGCUCAACCCCGUGAGGGGAUGGAAACUAUCUUUCUUGAGUGCAGGAGAGGAAAGCGGAAUUCCUAGUGUAGCGGUGAAAUGCGUAGAUAUUAGGAGGAACACCAGUGGCGAAGGCGGCUUUCUGGACUGUAACUGACGCUGAAGCUCGAAAGCGUGGGGAGCGAACAGGAUUAGAUACCCUGGUAGUCCACGCCGUAAACGAUGAAUGCUAGGUGUAGGAGGUAUCNACCCCUCCUGUGCCGGAGUUAACGCANUAANCAUUCCGCCUGGGGAGU